CAGAGUUCAUGCCCUAACGGGUAGAUCUCCCACCCUAUGUAUUUAUACCUUUGUUGCUUUGGUGGGCCGCCAGGCUUCGGCCAGGCUACCGGCUUCGGCUGGUAAGCGCCCGCCAGAGGACCCAAAACUCUGAAUGUUAAUGUCGUCUGAGUACUAUAUAAUAGUUA
This 167-nucleotide unclassified non-coding RNA is filed under the name uncultured Leptodontidium. Its description in RNAcentral is "sequence contains ITS1". Lineage: Eukaryota; Fungi; Ascomycota. The record is from RNAcentral.